Molecule: ribosomal RNA, 497 nt
Filed under: uncultured bacterium
Lineage: Bacteria
Description: partial 16S ribosomal RNA
Rfam family: Bacterial small subunit ribosomal RNA
Source: RNAcentral
GACGAACGCUGGCGGCGUGCCUAAUACAUGCAAGUAGAACGCUGAAGAGAGGAGCUUACUCUUCUUGGAUGAGUUGCGAACGGGUGAGUAACGCGUAGGUAACCUGCCUUGUAGCGGGGGAUAACUAUUGGAAACGAUAGCUAAUACCGCAUAACAAUGGAUGACACAUGUCAUUUAUUUGAAAGGGGCAAUUGCUCCACUACAAGAUGGACCUGCGUUGUAUUAGCUAGUAGGUGAGGUAAUGGCUCACCUAGGCGACGAUACAUAGCCGACCUGAGAGGGUGAUCGGCCACACUGGGACUGAGACACGGCCCAGACUCCUACGGGAGGCAGCAGUAGGGAAUCUUCGGCAAUGGGGGCAACACUGACCGAGCAACGCCGCGUGAGUGAAGAAGGGUUUCGGAUCGUAAAGCUCUGUUGUAAGUCAAGAACGGGUGUGAGAGUGGAAAGUUCACACUGUGACGGUAGCUUACCAGAAAGGGACGGCUAACUACGUG